Molecule: ribosomal RNA, 165 nt
Filed under: uncultured bacterium
Lineage: Bacteria
Description: partial 16S rRNA
Rfam family: Bacterial small subunit ribosomal RNA
Source: RNAcentral
UAGGGAAUCUUCGGCAAUGGACGAAAGUCUGACCGAGCAACGCCGCGUGAGUGAAGAAGGUUUUCGGAUCGUAAAACUCUGUUGGUAGAGAAGAACGUUGGUGAGAGUGGAAAGCUCAUCAAGUGACGGUAACUACCCAGAAAGGGACGGCUAACUACGUCCACG